AGAGUUUGAUCCUGGCUCAGGACGAACGCUGGCGGCGUGCUUAAUACAUGCAAGUAGAACGCUGAAGACUGGUGCUUGCACUAGUCAGAUGAGUUGCGAACGGGUGAGUAACGCGUAGGUAACCUACCUCAUAGCGGGGGAUAACUAUUGGAAACGAUAGCUAAUACCGCAUGACAAUUAAGUACUCAUGUACUAAAUUUAAAAGGAGCAAUUGCUUCACUAUGAGAUGGACCUGCGUUGUAUUAGCUAGUUGGUGAGGUAACGGCUCACCAAGGCCACGAUACAUAGCCGACCUGAGAGGGUGAUCGGCCACACUGGGACUGAGACACGGCCCAGACUCCUACGGGAGGCAGCAGUAGGGAAUCUUCGGCAAUGGGGGCAACCCUGACCGAGCAACGCCGCGUGAGUGAAGAAGGUUUUCGGAUCGUAAAGCUCUGUUGUUAGAGAAGAACGGUAAUGGGAGUGGAAAAUCCAUUACGUGACGGUAACUAACCAGAAAGGGACGGCUAACUACGUGCCAGCAGCCGCGGUAAUACGUAGGUCUCGAGCGUUGUCCGGAUUUAUUGGGCGUAAAGCGAGCGCAGGCGGUUAUUUAAGUCUGAAGUUAAAGGCCGUGGCUCAACCAUGGUUCGCUUUGGAAACUGGAUAACUUGAGUGCAGAAGGGGAGAGUGGAAUUCCAUGUGUAGCGGUGAAAUGCGUAGAUAUAUGGAGGAACACCGGUGGCGAAAGCGGCUCUCUGGUCUGUAACUGACGCUGAGGCUCGAAAGCGUGGGGAGCAAACAGGAUUAGAUACCCUGGUAGUCCACGCCGUAAACGAUGAGUGCUAGGUGUUAGGCCCUUUCCGGGGCUUAGUGCCGCAGCU
This 863-nucleotide ribosomal RNA is filed under the name uncultured bacterium. RNAcentral describes it as "bacterial SSU rRNA". It matches the Rfam family "Bacterial small subunit ribosomal RNA", at positions 8 to 853 of the family's 1533-position model. The record is from RNAcentral.